GGGCCAGCUAUAGCCCAGUGGUUCCUUUGGCUGCUUGCAAUGGCUUUCGUUCCUCUGCCCCGGCAGGGGUUUGAUCCCGUGGGCACCCCUGGCCCACUC
Molecule: unclassified non-coding RNA, 99 nt
Organism: Anser brachyrhynchus (Pink-footed goose)
Lineage: Eukaryota; Metazoa; Chordata; Aves; Anseriformes; Anatidae
Gene: Vault
Rfam family: Vault RNA
About the family: This family of RNAs are found as part of the enigmatic vault ribonucleoprotein complex.
Source: Ensembl